Molecule: ribosomal RNA, 717 nt
Filed under: uncultured Methanocorpusculum sp.
Lineage: Archaea; Methanobacteriati; Methanobacteriota; Methanomicrobia; Methanomicrobiales; Methanocorpusculaceae
Description: bacterial SSU rRNA
Rfam family: Archaeal small subunit ribosomal RNA
Source: RNAcentral
UUUUCGGUUGAUCCUGCCGGAGGCCAUUGCUAUCAGGGUUUGACUAAGCCAUGCGAGUCGAGAGGUGUAAGACCUCGGCAUACUGCUCAGUAACACAUGGAUAAUCUGCCCUUGGGUGGAGAAUACUCCCGGGAAACUGGGGUUAAUGCUCCAUAGUGGAUAUAUACUGGAAUGUUAUAUCCUCGAAAGAUCCGUCGCCCAAGGAUGAGUCUAUGUCCGAUUAGGUAGUUGGCGGGGUAACGGCCCACCAAGCCUUUGAUCGGUACGGGUUGUGGGAGCAAGAUCCCGGAGAUGGAUUCUGAGACAUGAAUCCAGGCCCUACGGGGCGCAGCAGGCGCGCAAACUUUACAAUGCGAGCAAUCGUGAUAAGGAAACCCUGAGUGCCUGUCGAUGCACGCUGUUCAUAUAUCUAAAUCAUAUGUGAAGAAAGGGCAGGGCAAGACCGGUGCCAGCCGCCGCGGUAAUACCGGCUGCUCGAGUGAUGGCCACUAUUACUGGGUUUAAAGCGUCCGUAGCUUGAUUGUUAGGUCUCUUGGGAAAUCUUCACGCUCAACGUGAAGGCGUCCAAGAGAUACCGGCAAUCUUGGAACUGGGAGAGGUAAACCGUACUUCGGGGGUAGGAGUGAAAUCUUGUAAUCCUCGAGGGACGACCUAUGGCGAAGGCAGUUUACCAGAACAGCUUCGACAGUGAGGGACGAAAGCUGGGGGAGCAAACGG